Molecule: ribosomal RNA, 2900 nt
Filed under: Klebsiella pneumoniae
Lineage: Bacteria; Pseudomonadati; Pseudomonadota; Gammaproteobacteria; Enterobacterales; Enterobacteriaceae
Also listed under: 1 other name
Description: bacterial LSU rRNA
Rfam family: Bacterial large subunit ribosomal RNA
Source: RNAcentral
UUAAGCGACUAAGCGUACACGGUGGAUGCCCUGGCAGUCAGAGGCGAUGAAGGACGUGCUAAUCUGCGAAAAGCGUCGGUAAGGUGAUAUGAACCGUUAUAACCGGCGAUGUCCGAAUGGGGAAACCCAGUGUGAUUCGUCACACUAUCGUUAACUGAAUACAUAGGUUAACGAGGCGAACCGGGGGAACUGAAACAUCUAAGUACCCCGAGGAAAAGAAAUCAACCGAGAUUCCCCCAGUAGCGGCGAGCGAACGGGGAGCAGCCCAGAGUCUGAAUCAGCUUGUGUGUUAGUGGAACGGUCUGGAAAGUCCGACGGUACAGGGUGAUAGUCCCGUACACCAAAAUGCACAGGCUGUGAACUCGAAGAGUAGGGCGGGACACGUGGUAUCCUGUCUGAAUAUGGGGGGACCAUCCUCCAAGGCUAAAUACUCCUGACUGACCGAUAGUGAACCAGUACCGUGAGGGAAAGGCGAAAAGAACCCCGGCGAGGGGAGUGAAAAAGAACCUGAAACCGUGUACGUACAAGCAGUGGGAGCACCUUCGGGUGUGACUGCGUACCUUUUGUAUAAUGGGUCAGCGACUUAUAUUCUGUAGCAAGGUUAACCGUAUAGGGGAGCCGCAGGGAAACCGAGUCUUAACUGGGCGUUAAGUUGCAGGGUAUAGACCCGAAACCCGGUGAUCUAGCCAUGGGCAGGUUGAAGGUUGGGUAACACUAACUGGAGGACCGAACCGACUAAUGUUGAAAAAUUAGCGGAUGACUUGUGGCUGGGGGUGAAAGGCCAAUCAAACCGGGAGAUAGCUGGUUCUCCCCGAAAGCUAUUUAGGUAGCGCCUCGUGAACUCAUCUUCGGGGGUAGAGCACUGUUUCGGCUAGGGGGUCAUCCCGACUUACCAACCCGAUGCAAACUACGAAUACCGAAGAAUGUUAUCACGGGAGACACACGGCGGGUGCUAACGUCCGUCGUGAAGAGGGAAACAACCCAGACCGCCAGCUAAGGUCCCAAAGUCAUGGUUAAGUGGGAAACGAUGUGGGAAGGCACAGACAGCCAGGAUGUUGGCUUAGAAGCAGCCAUCAUUUAAAGAAAGCGUAAUAGCUCACUGGUCGAGUCGGCCUGCGCGGAAGAUGUAACGGGGCUAAACCAUGCACCGAAGCUGCGGCAGCGACACUAUGUGUUGUUGGGUAGGGGAGCGUUCUGUAAGCCUGCGAAGGUGACCUGUGAGGGUUGCUGGAGGUAUCAGAAGUGCGAAUGCUGACAUAAGUAACGAUAAAGCGGGUGAAAAGCCCGCUCGCCGGAAGACCAAGGGUUCCUGUCCAACGUUAAUCGGGGCAGGGUGAGUCGACCCCUAAGGCGAGGCCGAAAGGCGUAGUCGAUGGGAAACAGGUUAAUAUUCCUGUACUUGGUGUUACUGCGAAGGGGGGACGGAGAAGGCUAUGUUAGCCGGGCGACGGUUGUCCCGGUUUAAGCAUGUAGGCUGGUUAUCCAGGCAAAUCCGGAUAAUCAAGGCUGAGGUGUGAUGACGAGGCACUACGGUGCUGAAGUAACAAAUGCCCUGCUUCCAGGAAAAGCCUCUAAGCAUCAGGUAACACGAAAUCGUACCCCAAACCGACACAGGUGGUCAGGUAGAGAAUACCAAGGCGCUUGAGAGAACUCGGGUGAAGGAACUAGGCAAAAUGGUGCCGUAACUUCGGGAGAAGGCACGCUGGUGUGUAGGUGAAGCCCCUGCGGGUGGAGCUGAGACCAGUCGAAGAUACCAGCUGGCUGCAACUGUUUAUUAAAAACACAGCACUGUGCAAACACGAAAGUGGACGUAUACGGUGUGACGCCUGCCCGGUGCCGGAAGGUUAAUUGAUGGGGUUAUCCGUAAGGAGAAGCUCUUGAUCGAAGCCCCGGUAAACGGCGGCCGUAACUAUAACGGUCCUAAGGUAGCGAAAUUCCUUGUCGGGUAAGUUCCGACCUGCACGAAUGGCGUAAUGAUGGCCAGGCUGUCUCCACCCGAGACUCAGUGAAAUUGAACUCGCUGUGAAGAUGCAGUGUACCCGCGGCAAGACGGAAAGACCCCGUGAACCUUUACUAUAGCUUGACACUGAACAUUGAGCCUUGAUGUGUAGGAUAGGUGGGAGGCUUUGAAGCGUGGACGCCAGUCUGCGUGGAGCCAACCUUGAAAUACCACCCUUUAAUGUUUGAUGUUCUAACGUUGGCCCCUUAUCGGGGUUGCGGACAGUGUCUGGUGGGUAGUUUGACUGGGGCGGUCUCCUCCCAAAGCGUAACGGAGGAGCACGAAGGUUAGCUAAUCCUGGUCGGACAUCAGGAGGUUAGUGCAAUGGCAUAAGCUAGCUUGACUGCGAGCGUGACGGCGCGAGCAGGUGCGAAAGCAGGUCAUAGUGAUCCGGUGGUUCUGAAUGGAAGGGCCAUCGCUCAACGGAUAAAAGGUACUCCGGGGAUAACAGGCUGAUACCGCCCAAGAGUUCAUAUCGACGGCGGUGUUUGGCACCUCGAUGUCGGCUCAUCACAUCCUGGGGCUGAAGUAGGUCCCAAGGGUAUGGCUGUUCGCCAUUUAAAGUGGUACGCGAGCUGGGUUUAGAACGUCGUGAGACAGUUCGGUCCCUAUCUGCCGUGGGCGCUGGAGAAUUGAGGGGGGCUGCUCCUAGUACGAGAGGACCGGAGUGGACGCAUCACUGGUGUUCGGGUUGUCAUGCCAAUGGCACUGCCCGGUAGCUAAAUGCGGAAGAGAUAAGUGCUGAAAGCAUCUAAGCACGAAACUUGCCCCGAGAUGAGUUCUCCCUGAGACUUUAAGUCUCCUGAAGGAACGUUAAAGACGAUGACGUUGAUAGGCCGGGUGUGUAAGCGCAGCGAUGCGUUGAGCUAACCGGUACUAAUGAACCGUGAGGCUUAACCUU